Molecule: long non-coding RNA, 193 nt
Organism: Phyllostomus discolor (pale spear-nosed bat)
Lineage: Eukaryota; Metazoa; Chordata; Mammalia; Chiroptera; Phyllostomidae
Exons: 3
Source: RefSeq, a predicted model, not a curated record
UAAAUGUGUUCAUGGACUCAGGGUUUGCUGCAUUCCUUUGAGCCUGCAGACAAGGUGCUACUCAAGAUUUGGGUGACAGCAUCUCCAGAAAGUCAACUAGGAAGAAAGUAGACUGGACCUUGGGACAUACUCCUUACCACCCCCACCAUGGUGAAGCUGGUGGAAAUAAAACCUUGGACUCACCAGACCAGAA